GACGAACCGAGCGAACGUUGUUCGGAAUCACUGGGCUUAAAGGGCGCGUAGGCGGGCUGCCAAGUUUGGGGUGAAAUCCUCCGGCUCAACCGGAGCAGUGCCUCGAAUACUGGCGGUCUCGAGGGAGGUAGGGGCGUGCGGAACUGUGGGUGGAGCGGUGAAAUGCGUUGAUAUCCACAGGAACUCCGGUGGCGAAGGCGGCACGCUGGACCUUUUCUGACGCUGAGGCGCGAAAGCCAGGGGAGCGAACGGG
This 253-nucleotide ribosomal RNA is filed under the name uncultured bacterium. Its description in RNAcentral is "partial 16S ribosomal RNA". It matches the Rfam family "Bacterial small subunit ribosomal RNA", at positions 524 to 776 of the family's 1533-position model. The record is from RNAcentral.